GGGGGCGCACAGGCUUCGACGGGAGUGGACAGCGUCCGAUGAGACGAGCCGAGUUUGCUGGAGACUCGUAAAACGCCGGCAGUCUAUAAGACAUGCCAACGAUAACGAAAUGGCUAUGGCCGCUUAAAUAAAAGCAGCCCAUCGGCCCGGGAAGCCCACGUCCCGGCCAACCGGUGUCAUCAAGUGGGAUCACCCUU
Molecule: transfer-messenger RNA, 197 nt
Filed under: Rubrobacter sp.
Lineage: Bacteria; Bacillati; Actinomycetota; Rubrobacteria; Rubrobacterales; Rubrobacteraceae
Description: partial transfer-messenger RNA
Rfam family: transfer-messenger RNA
About the family: Bacterial tmRNA, also known as 10Sa RNA or SsrA, is named for its dual tRNA and mRNA-like properties. Its role is to liberate the mRNA from a stalled ribosome. To accomplish this part of the tmRNA is used as a reading frame that ends in a translation stop signal.
Source: RNAcentral